UUAAGCGACUAAGCGUACACGGUGGAUGCCCUGGCAGUCAGAGGCGAUGAAGGACGUGCUAAUCUGCGAAAAGCGUCGGUAAGGUGAUAUGAACCGUUACAGCCGGCGAUGUCCGAAUGGGGAAACCCAGUGCAAUUCGUUGCACUAUCGUUAACUGAAUACAUAGGUUAACGAGGCGAACCGGGGGAACUGAAACAUCUAAGUACCCCGAGGAAAAGAAAUCAACCGAGAUUCCCCCAGUAGCGGCGAGCGAACGGGGAGCAGCCCAGAGUCUGAAUCAGCUUGUGUGUUAGUGGAACGGUCUGGAAAGUCCGACGGUACAGGGUGAUAGUCCCGUACACCAAAAUGCACAGGCUGUGAACUCGAAGAGUAGGGCGGGACACGUGGUAUCCUGUCUGAAUAUGGGGGGACCAUCCUCCAAGGCUAAAUACUCCUGACUGACCGAUAGUGAACCAGUACCGUGAGGGAAAGGCGAAAAGAACCCCGGCGAGGGGAGUGAAAAAGAACCUGAAACCGUGUACGUACAAGCAGUGGGAGCACCUUCGGGUGUGACUGCGUACCUUUUGUAUAAUGGGUCAGCGACUUAUAUUCUGUAGCAAGGUUAACCGUAUAGGGGAGCCGCAGGGAAACCGAGUCUUAACUGGGCGUUAAGUUGCAGGGUAUAGACCCGAAACCCGGUGAUCUAGCCAUGGGCAGGUUGAAGGUUGGGUAACACUAACUGGAGGACCGAACCGACUAAUGUUGAAAAAUUAGCGGAUGACUUGUGGCUGGGGGUGAAAGGCCAAUCAAACCGGGAGAUAGCUGGUUCUCCCCGAAAGCUAUUUAGGUAGCGCCUCGUGAACUCAUCUUCGGGGGUAGAGCACUGUUUCGGCUAGGGGGUCAUCCCGACUUACCAACCCGAUGCAAACUACGAAUACCGAAGAAUGUUAUCACGGGAGACACACGGCGGGUGCUAACGUCCGUCGUGAAGAGGGAAACAACCCAGACCGCCAGCUAAGGUCCCAAAGUCAUGGUUAAGUGGGAAACGAUGUGGGAAGGCACAGACAGCCAGGAUGUUGGCUUAGAAGCAGCCAUCAUUUAAAGAAAGCGUAAUAGCUCACUGGUCGAGUCGGCCUGCGCGGAAGAUGUAACGGGGCUAAACCAUGCACCGAAGCUGCGGCAGCGACACUAUGUGUUGUUGGGUAGGGGAGCGUUCUGUAAGCCUGCGAAGGUGUGCUGUGAGGCAUGCUGGAGGUAUCAGAAGUGCGAAUGCUGACAUAAGUAACGAUAAAGCGGGUGAAAAGCCCGCUCGCCGGAAGACCAAGGGUUCCUGUCCAACGUUAAUCGGGGCAGGGUGAGUCGACCCCUAAGGCGAGGCCGAAAGGCGUAGUCGAUGGGAAACAGGUUAAUAUUCCUGUACUUGGUGUUACUGCGAAGGGGGGACGGAGAAGGCUAUGUUAGCCGGGCGACGGUUGUCCCGGUUUAAGCAUGUAGGCUGGUUAUCCAGGCAAAUCCGGAUAAUCAAGGCUGAGGUGUGAUGACGAGGCACUACGGUGCUGAAGUAACAAAUGCCCUGCUUCCAGGAAAAGCCUCUAAGCAUCAGGUAACAUCAAAUCGUACCCCAAACCGACACAGGUGGUCAGGUAGAGAAUACCAAGGCGCUUGAGAGAACUCGGGUGAAGGAACUAGGCAAAAUGGUGCCGUAACUUCGGGAGAAGGCACGCUGGUGUGUAGGUGAAGUCCCUGCGGAUGGAGCUGAGACCAGUCGAAGAUACCAGCUGGCUGCAACUGUUUAUUAAAAACACAGCACUGUGCAAACACGAAAGUGGACGUAUACGGUGUGACGCCUGCCCGGUGCCGGAAGGUUAAUUGAUGGGGUUAUCCGUAAGGAGAAGCUCUUGAUCGAAGCCCCGGUAAACGGCGGCCGUAACUAUAACGGUCCUAAGGUAGCGAAAUUCCUUGUCGGGUAAGUUCCGACCUGCACGAAUGGCGUAAUGAUGGCCAGGCUGUCUCCACCCGAGACUCAGUGAAAUUGAACUCGCUGUGAAGAUGCAGUGUACCCGCGGCAAGACGGAAAGACCCCGUGAACCUUUACUAUAGCUUGACACUGAACAUUGAGCCUUGAUGUGUAGGAUAGGUGGGAGGCUUUGAAGCGUGGACGCCAGUCUGCGUGGAGCCAACCUUGAAAUACCACCCUUUAAUGUUUGAUGUUCUAACGUUGGCCCCUGACCGGGGUUGCGGACAGUGUCUGGUGGGUAGUUUGACUGGGGCGGUCUCCUCCCAAAGCGUAACGGAGGAGCACGAAGGUUAGCUAAUCCUGGUCGGACAUCAGGAGGUUAGUGCAAUGGCAUAAGCUAGCUUGACUGCGAGCGUGACGGCGCGAGCAGGUGCGAAAGCAGGUCAUAGUGAUCCGGUGGUUCUGAAUGGAAGGGCCAUCGCUCAACGGAUAAAAGGUACUCCGGGGAUAACAGGCUGAUACCGCCCAAGAGUUCAUAUCGACGGCGGUGUUUGGCACCUCGAUGUCGGCUCAUCACAUCCUGGGGCUGAAGUAGGUCCCAAGGGUAUGGCUGUUCGCCAUUUAAAGUGGUACGCGAGCUGGGUUUAGAACGUCGUGAGACAGUUCGGUCCCUAUCUGCCGUGGGCGCUGGAGAAUUGAGGGGGGCUGCUCCUAGUACGAGAGGACCGGAGUGGACGCAUCACUGGUGUUCGGGUUGUCAUGCCAAUGGCACUGCCCGGUAGCUAAAUGCGGAAGAGAUAAGUGCUGAAAGCAUCUAAGCACGAAACUUGCCCCGAGAUGAGUUCUCCCUGAGACUUUAAGUCUCCUGAAGGAACGUUGAAGACGACGACGUUGAUAGGCCGGGUGUGUAAGCGCAGCGAUGCGUUGAGCUAACCGGUACUAAUGAACCGUGAGGCUUAACCU
RNAcentral lists this ribosomal RNA (2899 nucleotides) under Klebsiella pneumoniae. Its description in RNAcentral is "23S ribosomal RNA". It matches the Rfam family "Bacterial large subunit ribosomal RNA". Lineage: Bacteria; Pseudomonadati; Pseudomonadota; Gammaproteobacteria; Enterobacterales; Enterobacteriaceae. The record is from RNAcentral.